This 253-nucleotide ribosomal RNA is filed under the name uncultured bacterium. Its description in RNAcentral is "partial 16S ribosomal RNA". It matches the Rfam family "Bacterial small subunit ribosomal RNA", at positions 524 to 776 of the family's 1533-position model. The record is from RNAcentral.
UACGGAGGGUGCGAGCGUUGUCCGGAAUCAUUGGGCGUAAAGGGCGCGUAGGUGGCGCGGUAAGCGUGCGGUGAAAGCCUGGGGCUCAACCUCGGGUCUGCAGUCGAUACGGGCGGACUGGAGUUCGGCAGGGGAGACUGGAAUUCCUGGUGUAGCAGUGAAAUGCGUAGAUAUCAGGAGGAAUACCGAUGGCGAAGGCAGGUCUCUGGGCUGACACUGACGCUCAUGCACGAAAGCGUGGGGAGCAAACAGG